AGUGCUGGUUUUUGGAUAUGAAUUUGUCAUUAAGACUACCUGGGCUGACUCUCUUUUCGGACUCAGCCCACCUGCACCCAGGUGAAAUAAACAGCUUUAUUGCUCACACAAAGCCUGUUUGGUGGUCUCUUCACAUGGACGCGCAUGAAAUUUGGUGCCGUGACUCGGAUCGGGGGACCUCCCUUGGGAGAUCAAUCCCCUGUCCUCCUGCUCUUUGCUCCGUGAGAAACAUCCACCUAUGGCCUCAGGUCCUCAGACCGACCAGCCCAAGAAACAUCUCACCAAUUUCAAAUCCGGCAUUGGGCUCUCACCAUUGGCCAAGAUUCCCUGCCCCGGUGAGGCCGGAAGCAGUUCAGACACCUGACUUCUGGCAACAUGUGAGCCUGACCCAAGCAGAUCACUGGUGACCAGUAAAUAUUGAAGCUCCAAGGUUCUUCCUUUAACAUACUGAAUUAAUGAGCCCCCUAGGGGCAUCCCCUAAAAUGACUGAGAUUUAAUUUCUCUCUAGCCUGAAUAAAGACUUAGAGCAGAUUAAAUUUGAUUUAGAGGAAGAAAAAA
This 558-nucleotide long non-coding RNA is filed under the name Homo sapiens (human). RNAcentral's name for it is "HSALNT0329162". Lineage: Eukaryota; Metazoa; Chordata; Mammalia; Primates; Hominidae. The record is from RNAcentral.